UACCUUAGGUUAACUCUGUCCCGUCAGGGACUUGCUAGUGAGCUCCUUCAGGCAUUUGCCACUCAGCAGUUUGUUCUCAUACUCACUGCCUUAUCCAUUAUGAUUUACUUUCAUGUAGAGAUUGUGUUGUUUAUCUCUCUAUUCCACACCAUGCUUGGAAUGGGUGGUUCAGUAUAGCCAGCAACUGAGACGUGUGCUCACUGAAGGGCUCAAGAACCAUCAUUACCAUGUUUUCAGGCCAGACAACAUGUUUAACUCCCAAAGCCUCUAAUAGAGCUCUUGAUGCAACUGUAUAUGAUUCUGUGCACUUGUGUGGUUACUGAGCACUCAAGAUGAUAUUAAGAUCCACAUUGCAACAGAAACCUGUGAUCCAAAGAGUGGAACUGUGCUCAGUGUAUCUUCUAAUACAAACCUGUAAAUUCCCUUGAGCCCUAAGAGGAUGAAUCUGUCUCAACGUGGCUCAACUUUUGGUAUCUCAAGAGGGCGCGGCAGCAACUCCUUACCUCCGUCUGGACGAGGUAGUUGCGCUGUGUCCUGAUAUGCUUCAGGAAUCCCAGGACAUUGACUGUGCUUUUAUCUUUGAUCUGCUGCAGCAUGCUGUCUAUCACAAUGUAGGUGCCCGUCCUGCCCACGCCAGCACUGUGAAAAAUGAAGGCGCUCAACUAGGACUUUGUAAUUUUUUCAAUCCAUGGUCACAAUGCAAUUUUAGAGGAAGAUUCGGCCAAAGUCAAGCAAAGCAAUAGCAGAGUUCCUAUGGUCCCAGUUCACAGGGCCCGAGCUCCCUGCUCAAUCUCCCUCACAUGCUGAGUCCCAGGUGGAAGAAGAGAAGGAUGCUGGCCCUACCUGCAGUGCACCAGCACGGGGCCCAUGUCUGGCACCCGGGCUGCCGAGGAUCUCCUCACGAAGGUCAGGACUGGGAGGGCAUACUCGGGAACUCCCAUGUCAGGCCACUGUGUGUAGUGAUACUGGAUCACCGUCCUCUCGUUCUGACGACCCUUGGGAUUUCCCUUCUGGCCCUGUGAGAAAGGUGUAAGAAGACCUCUUUAAUCUGCAGGUGAACAUUCUGGAAACAAACAAGAUCAUGGGCCACGAGUCUCAUUCUUCGUCCACUGUCAAGGAGGGACCUUCUGGAAAGGGAGGACAGAGUUGUGCUGUGCCUUCUCAGGAAGUGAAGGGAAAAUCCCAAGUGUCAAAUGAUUCUCCAUCUCUAGAAUCAGAGGAUACAGAACACCUGAAAUUCCUACACUAUCUCUGACUUGAGCCGUUUCUAAGAGAAGGAGCUUUUGGGGGACGCCUUAUAUCCAAACCAGAAGAAUACCAAAAGCAGAGCCUUAGGGGUGAGCCGAAGACAGCAACUUCUGUGGGAAAGAAGGCACCAGAGUCGAGAGAGUGUUGACCUCACACACAGCACCGUACAACAUGAAGCGCUAAGCUAAGGAACAGAAGGAAGAGCCGUUCCUGUCAUCUGGGUGGCUUUUCCCCAUGCUUGCAUCUUCGGAACUAUAAGAGGCAGGUCAGCACUUCAUGCUGCUAAUGUACUCCUCCGUGCUGAAUUUGCUUUCUCUUCAUCUUUAGGAGAAUAGGAGGAAUAAAGGGAAAACUUUGUUUUCUGCAAUCUUUGGUUUGAUAUUAGAAAGGAAAAAUAA
Sciurus carolinensis (gray squirrel) is the source of this 1646-nucleotide long non-coding RNA. RefSeq lists it as uncharacterized. NCBI's taxonomy places the organism in Eukaryota, Metazoa, Chordata, Mammalia, Rodentia, Sciuridae. The record is from RefSeq and is a predicted model, not a curated record. The transcript has 5 exons.